RNAcentral lists this ribosomal RNA (381 nucleotides) under Schizocephala bicornis. RNAcentral describes it as "partial 12S ribosomal RNA". The record is from RNAcentral. Lineage: Eukaryota; Metazoa; Arthropoda; Insecta; Mantodea; Mantidae.
AUUAGAUACCCUAUUAUUUUUAUUGUAAAAGUUUAAACCUGAGUAGUAGUAGUUAUGGUCUUGAAACUUAAAGAAUUUGGCGGUAUUAUAAUCUAUUUAGAGGAAUCUGUUAUGUAAUUGAUAAUCCGCAUUGAACCUUACUUAUAUUAUUUCUUGUAUACCGCUGUUUAUGAAAAUAUUAUAAGAUUAAUAUUCUUAAUGUAGAAUUAAACAUUAUUUCAAGUCAAGGUGCAGUAAUAUAUAAGUUGAAUAAUGGAUUACAAUAAAUUUUAUUUAUUAACGAAUAAAUUGUUUAAAGGUAAGUUUUGAAGGUGGAUUUAAUUGUAAUUUUUUGAAGAUUGUAAAAAUGAUUAUGGCUCUAUAAUAUGCACACAUCGCCCG